UCUUGGUCAUUUAGAGGAAGUAAAAGUCGUAACAAGGUUUCCGUAGGUGAACCUGCGGAAGGAUCAUUACUGAAUGAACCGGGAGGGGUUGUCGCUGGCCUUGGAAACAGGGCAUGUGCACGCCUCACUCGUCYAACCUUCACACCUCUGUGCACUUCUCAUGGAUCRGAAUUUGARCCUUCGGGUGAAGAAUUCUGGUCUGUGUGUUACUACAUACACUUGUUUGUCAUAGAAUGUUUACUGUGCAUGAAUGCAUACAAUACAACUUUCAGCAACGGAUCUCUUGGCUCUCGCAUCGAUGAAGAACGCAGCGAAAUGCGAUAAGUAAUGUGAAUUGCAGAAUUCAGUGAAUCAUCGAAUCUUUGAACGCACCUUGCGCUCCUUGGUAUUCCGAGGAGCAUGCCUGUUUGAGUGUCAUGGUAUUCUCAACUCUUGUUGUUUUUGUGCAACCAGUGUUGGACUUGGAGGUUUGCAGGCGUACGUCUGCUCCUCUGAAAURCAUUAGCUUGGACUGUUGUCGAGUGUAAUCCGGUGUGAUAAUUGUCUACGCCGCGUUGCCUCUUCAAAACUUAAGGUUCUGGCUYCYAAUCGUCUCUUUGURGACAAUUUUGAAACAUCUGACCUCAAAUCAGGUAGGACUACCCGCUGAACUUAAGCAUAUCAAUAAGCGGAGGAAAAGAAACUAACAAGGAUUCCCCUAGUAACUGCGAGUGAAGCGGGAAAAGCUCAAAUUUAAAAUCUGGCAGCUUUGGCUGUCCGAGUUGUAGUCUGGAGAAGCGUUUUCUGUGCCGGACCGUGUACAAGUCUCUUGGAACAGAGCGUCAUAGAGGGUGAGAAUCCCGUCUUUGACACGGACUGCCGGUGCUUUGUGAUGCGCUCUCAAAGAGUCGAGUUGUUUGGGAAUGCAGCUCAAAAUGGGUGGUAAAUUCCAUCUAAAGCUAAAUAUUGGCGAGAGACCGAUAGCGAACAAGUACCGUGAGGGAAAGAUGAAAAGCACUUUGGAAAGAGAGUUAAACAGUACGUGAAAUUGCUGAAAGGGAAACGCUUGAAGUCAGUCGCGUCUGCCGGAACUCAGCCUGGCUUCUGCCUGGUGUAUUUUCUGGUUGACGGGCCAGCAUCAGUUUUGACCGACGGAAAAAGACCUUGGGAAUGUGGCACCUUCGGGUGUGUUAUAGCCUUUGGUUGCAUACGUCGGUUGGGACUGAGGAUCUCAGCACGCCUUUAUGGUCGGGGUUCGCCCACGUCCGUGCUUAGGAUGCUGGCGUAAUGGCUUUAAACGACCCGUCUUGAAACACGGACCAAGGAGUCUAACAUGCCUGCGAGUGUUUGGGUGGAAAACCCGAGCGCGCAAUGAAAGUGAAAGUUGGGAUCCCUGUCGCGGGGAGCACCGACGCCCAGACCAGACCUUCUGUGACGGAUCUGCGGUAGAGCAUGUAUGUUGGGACCCGAAAGAUGGUGAACUAUGCCUGAAUAGGGUGAAGCCAGAGGAAACUCUGGUGGAGGCUCGUAGCGAUUCUGACGUGCAAAUCGAUCGUCAAAUUUGGGUAUAGGGGCGAAAGACUAAUCGAACCAUCUAGUAGCUGGU
Molecule: ribosomal RNA, 1585 nt
Filed under: Junghuhnia crustacea
Lineage: Eukaryota; Fungi; Basidiomycota; Agaricomycetes; Polyporales; Steccherinaceae
Description: eukaryotic LSU rRNA
Rfam family: Eukaryotic large subunit ribosomal RNA (bases 619-1585)
Source: RNAcentral